This 253-nucleotide ribosomal RNA is filed under the name uncultured bacterium. RNAcentral's name for it is "partial 16S ribosomal RNA". It matches the Rfam family "Bacterial small subunit ribosomal RNA", at positions 524 to 776 of the family's 1533-position model. The record is from RNAcentral.
UACGUAGGGUGCGAGCGUUGUCCGGAAUUAUUGGGCGUAAAGAGCUCGUAGGCGGUUUGUCGCGUCGACUGUGAAAACCUACAGCUUAACUGUGGGCUUGCAGUCGAUACGGGCAGACUUGAGUUCGGUAGGGGAGACUGGAAUUCCUGGUGUAGCGGUGAAAUGCGCAGAUAUCAGGAGGAACACCGGUGGCGAAGGCGGGUCUCUGGGCCUUACCUGACACUGAGGAGCGAAAGCGUGGGGAGCGAACAGG